This 253-nucleotide ribosomal RNA is filed under the name uncultured bacterium. RNAcentral's name for it is "partial 16S ribosomal RNA". It matches the Rfam family "Bacterial small subunit ribosomal RNA", at positions 524 to 776 of the family's 1533-position model. The record is from RNAcentral.
UACGUAGGGGGCAAGCGUUGUCCGGAUUUAUUGGGCGUAAAGAGCGCGUAGGCGGCCCUGUAAGUCCGCUGUGAAAGUCAAGGGCUCAACCCUUGGAUGCCGGUGGAUACUGCAGGGCUAGAGUCCGGAAGAGGCGAGUGGAAUUCCUGGUGUAGCGGUGAAAUGCGCAGAUAUCAGGAGGAACACCGAUGGCGAAGGCAGCUCGCUGGGACGGUACUGACGCUGAGACGCGAAAGCGUGGGGAGCGAACAGG